Non-coding RNA from Chelonoidis abingdonii (Abingdon island giant tortoise), 125 nucleotides. NCBI's taxonomy places the organism in Eukaryota, Metazoa, Chordata, Testudines, Testudinidae. The record is from RefSeq and is a predicted model, not a curated record.
GAAUCACAGUGAGGAGAAAGAAGGAGGAGUUCUUGUGGUACCUUAGAGACUAACAAAUGUAUUUGGGCAUAAGUUUCUGUGGGCUGAAACCCACUUCCUUGGAUAGAUGGAGUGAAAAAUACAGU